UACGGGGGGGGCAAGCGUUGUUCGGAAUUACUGGGCGUAAAGGGCUCGUAGGCGGCCAACUAAGUCAGACGUGAAAUCCCUCAGCUUAACUGGGGAACUGCGUCUGAUACUGGAUGGCUUGAGAUUGGGAGAGGGAUGCGGAAUUCCCGGUGUAGCGGUGAAAUGCGUAGAUAUCGGGAGGAACAUCAGUGGCGAAGGCGGCCUUCUGGUCCAGUACUGACACUCAAGUGCGAAAGCGUGGGGAGCAAACAGG
RNAcentral lists this ribosomal RNA (253 nucleotides) under uncultured bacterium. RNAcentral describes it as "partial 16S ribosomal RNA". It matches the Rfam family "Bacterial small subunit ribosomal RNA", at positions 524 to 776 of the family's 1533-position model. The record is from RNAcentral.